UACAGAGGUCCCGAGCGUUGUUCGGAUUCACUGGGCGUAAAGGGUGCGUAGGUGGCGAGGAAAGUCGGAUGUGAAAUCUCGGAGCUCAACUCCGAAAUGGCAUUGGAAACUACCUGGCUGGAGGUUUGGAGGGGGGACUGGAAUACUUGGUGUAGCAGUGAAAUGCGUAGAUAUCAAGUGGAACACCAGUGGCGAAGGCGAGUCCCUGGACAAAACCUGACACUGAGGCACGAAAGCUAGGGGAGCAAACAGG
RNAcentral lists this ribosomal RNA (253 nucleotides) under uncultured bacterium. RNAcentral's name for it is "partial 16S ribosomal RNA". It matches the Rfam family "Bacterial small subunit ribosomal RNA", at positions 524 to 776 of the family's 1533-position model. The record is from RNAcentral.